CUUGAGCGACCCGAGCCACAGCGGCUCGCCGUCCCGGUCCCGCCCGUAGGUGGCGACCAGCGCGCGGGCCUC
Molecule: antisense RNA, 72 nt
Filed under: Actinosynnema mirum DSM 43827
Lineage: Bacteria; Bacillati; Actinomycetota; Actinomycetes; Pseudonocardiales; Pseudonocardiaceae
Description: ASpks TB sRNA
Rfam family: ASpks TB sRNA
Source: Rfam by way of RNAcentral